This is a long non-coding RNA of Telopea speciosissima, 251 nucleotides long. RefSeq lists it as uncharacterized. Lineage: Eukaryota; Viridiplantae; Streptophyta; Magnoliopsida; Proteales; Proteaceae. The record is from RefSeq and is a predicted model, not a curated record. The transcript is spliced from 3 exons.
GCCCCAUCACUUGAUGAUACCAAUAAUAUGAUUUCUUCAUUUCCAAAAUUUCUUAUACCACGUUUACAUAAUUACGUUGCCUUCUGCUUGUUGAUCAGUGGCAUAUACGCUGUCCACAAUGAGCAUAAUUAUCUGACAUAAUAUUGUCUUCCUGUUGUUUAAGCCCCCAUUUGACUUAUCGACUUUGGGAGACUGUUUCUUUGGGCUUUCCCUGGUGUAUAAUUUUCAAGAUUUGUUUUUAUUUGGAUGAC